CUGCUCUGUUGGAGUUUUGUGGAAGAGGACGUGGUUUUCUGCAUACUUACUUUGAGUUCAUCAGAAGCUGCCCCAUUUGAACAGAAGGUCAAACAGCGGAUGGAGUCCGCCUGUCCCCAGCAUGCCCUCUGCAAUGGUGGAAAGAAGGCUGAAACAGUUUCAAUAAUUCUCCAAAGAGGAGUAUCUCAUUUGCAUCCCACAGGACGAAAGAGAACUUGAUUUCU
This is a long non-coding RNA of Tympanuchus pallidicinctus (lesser prairie-chicken), 224 nucleotides long. RefSeq lists it as uncharacterized. The transcript has 3 exons. NCBI's taxonomy places the organism in Eukaryota, Metazoa, Chordata, Aves, Galliformes, Phasianidae. The record is from RefSeq and is a predicted model, not a curated record.